ACCCCUGGCAUUGUUAGUACGGCGAGUGAGCGGCAACAGCUCAAAUUUGAAAUCUGGCUCUUUUAGAGUCCGAGUUGUAAUUUGCAGAGGGCGCUUUGGCUUUGGCAGCGGUCCAAGUUCCUUGGAACAGGACGUCACAGAGGGUGAGAAUCCCGUACGUGGUCGCUGGCUAUUGCCGUGUAAAGCCCCUUCGACGAGUCGAGUUGUUUGGGAAUGCAGCUCUAAAUGGGAGGUACAUUUCUUCUAAAGCUAAAUAUUGGCCAGAGACCGAUAGCGCACAAGUAGAGUGAUCGAAAGAUGAAAAGCACUUUGGAAAGAGAGUCAAACAGCACGUGAAAUUGUUGAAAGGGAAGCGCUUGCAGCCAGACUUGCUUACAGUUGCUCAUCCGGGUUUCUACCCGGUGCACUCUUCUGUAGGCAGGCCAGCAUCAGUUUGGGCGGUAGGAUAAAGGUCUCUGUCACGUACCUCCUUUCGGGGAGGCCUUAUAGGGGAGACGACAUACUACCAGCCUGGACUGAGGUCCGCGCAUCUGCUAGGAUGCUGGCGUAAUGGCUGUAAGCGGCCCGUCUUGAACCACGGACCAAAACAGCCU
This 593-nucleotide ribosomal RNA is filed under the name Alternaria sp. RNAcentral's name for it is "LSU rRNA". It matches the Rfam family "Eukaryotic large subunit ribosomal RNA", at positions 64 to 676 of the family's 3401-position model. Lineage: Eukaryota; Fungi; Ascomycota; Dothideomycetes; Pleosporales; Pleosporaceae. The record is from RNAcentral.